UUGGGCCUCGUGGUGCAUUCACUGAAGUCAAUAAUUGCCCACUGGGAACUAUUUUUAAUAGUUCUCACGCCCCUGUUUUAUGGUUUACUUUUCAGAGCCUUCGGCACCGGCGGAGGCACGGGAUCGCGGCAAGGGGAUCGCUUAGUUAGCUAGCGAGGAGCGGUACUUUGCCUAGGUGGUUUACUCUUUCUUUUUGUAGUUGAGAGAGUGAGAGGUUUUUGUAUUCAUGUAUAGAGACCACCUGAGUAUCUACCUAUAGCACUUGUAUCUGGGAUUUUCUUGUAUCACUUUAUGUUUUAUUUAGUGGAUUUACAGUUUUAUCCUUAUUCCUUGUUGUAGCAUUUAGACAUUUAUUAUGCUCUGAUACUCCUAGAUGUCUUUUAUUAUUGCUUUUAUUAUCGUUGUUUUUAGACGCCUUAUAUGUUUUAGACGUAUGGCGGGUUUGGGCACGCGCCGGGCGGGCUUCCGCUUGGUCCCGGGGCGUGACACAAAGACAGGUCUCCUCGAGAGGACCGGUCCCUGAGGAUGACGUCAGUUUUUAAAAUUGUAUUU
RNAcentral lists this long non-coding RNA (552 nucleotides) under Ananas comosus (pineapple). RNAcentral's name for it is "long non-coding RNA (ACOM_LNC043438)". The record is from RNAcentral. Lineage: Eukaryota; Viridiplantae; Streptophyta; Magnoliopsida; Poales; Bromeliaceae.